Molecule: long non-coding RNA, 1065 nt
Organism: Takifugu rubripes (torafugu)
Lineage: Eukaryota; Metazoa; Chordata; Actinopteri; Tetraodontiformes; Tetraodontidae
Source: Ensembl
GAGAAUCUGCCUGAAAUGGAAUAUUUUUCUUGAUUUGUGUGUGUGUACGCGCGUGUCAAAUUCCGACGUGUUUCACGUAUUUUGGCUCCAUGUUCUACCUAAUUAUUGCAAUUUGAUCCUAAAGCAGGAGUGGCCUAAUCCUCUGCUGUACUGCAGAAAUCCUGCUUCAGAAACUUUGCUAAUACAGUUGGCCUGUUUUAAUAGAGACUGGGAAAGUAGCGCGGCGGCGGCAGAAGGACGGCCUCCGCGGGAAGCUCCUCUCUUUCCUUCUAUGCAAAUUCACGGGAGAAGACGGCGAGGCAGCUCGCAGGCUGUUGGAAGGAAGUUGUGGAGGAGGAAAGCCGAACUCUGUUCCCGUCUCCGUCGCCCGAAGUCGGCAUGUGCGUGAGCGAGCCCCCGUGGUUACGUAACUACAACCUCAUUACGUGUUUAGGUGCUCAGGUUGUUUCAGGAGACACAUGUCCUCGUUUAGGCAAGCCUCAAGUCGUAUUGUUUCAUCCAGGGUUUCCACCAGCUGGUGGUCUUUGUCUCAUCAGAGAGAGCGACGGAGAAGAUCCUGAUCCUGUGAGGUGAUACUUCUGGUGAAGCGGUCCUUUUUGAACAAUCACUGUGGACACAAAAACCUGAGAACGGCAACAAACGGGAUUUCCAAGAUCAACUUUUCUCAUGUAAGCAUGUAACAGAACCCAGAACCUUCCUUCGGUUCAAGCUGGGGCCUUGAGAAGAUGGAUCUGGAGCGGUCGUCUGAUGGAGUUUCUGAUACUUCACGGUGGAAUCUAAGACAAUAAUGGCUGUUUUUCCUGCUGGGAACAUUUUCCAGAGUCACUCCACUCUUCCUCGAAUUUCAGAAGGAUUUCUGAAGGCCUUGCGGGGAAACUUGGACCCCAUGUUGGGAAUCACUCGCAGCCUCUUUGAGGCGAUGCCUCUGGUGGUUCUCGGUAAAGUGGCAUGUCGUCGGCUCUGCAGGCGUGUCAGGACCACGACGCGGUGGCGUGACAUCACAGACUGAGCUGUUCUGGAGACGACCGCGUAAAGAUUCUGGUGUCACAUAAAUCAGGAGUGUUG